Molecule: long non-coding RNA, 319 nt
Filed under: Piliocolobus tephrosceles (Ugandan red Colobus)
Lineage: Eukaryota; Metazoa; Chordata; Mammalia; Primates; Cercopithecidae
Description: lncRNA (ENSPTEG00000005767.1)
Source: RNAcentral
GCUAGUUUGGUCUUUUUUUUUUUUUUUUGUUUCGCUGACAAUGCUUUUGCUUUACUUUUUUUUUUUUUUUUUUUUUUUUUUUUUUUUUUUUUUUUUUUUUUUUUUUUUUUUUUUUUUUUUUUUUUUUUUUUUUUUUUUUUUUUUUUUUUUCAGUCUUUUUUCGUCAUCGCUACCUUUGUCGUCGCUACCUUUGUCGUCGCUACCUUUGUCGUCGCUACCUUUUUCAUCGUCACUACCUUUUUCAUUUUCGCUCCUAUUUUCAUCAUCACUACUGUUUUCAUCGUCACUCUUAUCCCUUUUUUUUUUUUUUUUUUUUUUU